This 29-nucleotide small RNA is filed under the name Bombyx mori (domestic silkworm). Its description in RNAcentral is "ovarian small RNA-17778". Lineage: Eukaryota; Metazoa; Arthropoda; Insecta; Lepidoptera; Bombycidae. The record is from RNAcentral.
GUCGAUCAAAACGCCUUCUAUCGCGAUAC